GUACACCUACGGGGGGCAGCAGUGAGGAAUAUUGGUCAAUGGGCGGGAGCCUGAACCAGCCAAGUCGCGUGAGGGAUGACGGCCCUAUGGGUUGUAAACCUCUUUUGCCGGGGAGCAAAGUGCCGCACGUGUGCGGUUUGGAGAGUACCCAGAGAAAAAGCAUCGGCUAACUCCGUGCCAGCAGCCGCGGUAAUACGGAGGAUUCAAGCGUUAUCCGGAUUUAUUGGGUUUAAAGGGUGCGUAGGCGGUUCGAUAAGUUAGAGGUGAAAUCCCGGGGCUCAACUCCGGCACUGCCUCUGAUACUG
Molecule: ribosomal RNA, 305 nt
Filed under: uncultured bacterium
Lineage: Bacteria
Description: bacterial SSU rRNA
Rfam family: Bacterial small subunit ribosomal RNA
Source: RNAcentral